UACGUAGGGGGCAAGCGUUGUCCGGAAUCAUUGGGCGUAAAGCGCGUGUAGGCGGCUUGGCAAGUCCGCUCUGAAAGCCCGGGGCUCAACCCCGGGAGGCGGGUGGAUACUGUCAAGCUCGAGUCCGGAAGAGGCGAGUGGAAUUCCUGGUGUAGCGGUGAAAUGCGCAGAUAUCAGGAGGAACACCAAUGGCGAAGGCAGCUCGCUGGGACGUGACUGACGCUGAGACGCGAAAGCGUGGGGAGCAAACAGG
RNAcentral lists this ribosomal RNA (253 nucleotides) under uncultured bacterium. RNAcentral describes it as "partial 16S ribosomal RNA". It matches the Rfam family "Bacterial small subunit ribosomal RNA", at positions 524 to 776 of the family's 1533-position model. The record is from RNAcentral.